CCCUUAGAUGUUCUGGGCCGCACGCGUGCUACACUGAGUGGAUCAGCGGGUCAGGUUGCGCGAAAGUGUUUCCUAAUCUUGAAAUCCGCUCGUGAUGGGGAUUGACGGUUGCAAUUUUCCGUCAUGAACGAGGAAUACCUUGUAAGCGCGGGUCAUCAUCCCGCGCUGAAUACGUCCCUGCCCUUUGUACACACCGCCCGUCGUUCCUACCGAUUGAGUGGUCCGGUGAGGCUUUGGGAUCUGAGCGGAAAGAGCGUUUCGCUGUUUCUGCUCGGAAAACUCAGUCGAACCUUAUCAUUUAGAGGAAGGAGAAGUCGUAACA
Molecule: ribosomal RNA, 322 nt
Filed under: uncultured eukaryote
Lineage: Eukaryota
Description: partial 18S ribosomal RNA
Rfam family: Eukaryotic small subunit ribosomal RNA
Source: RNAcentral